GGGAGAGUGGCCGAGCGGUUGAUGGCAGCGGUCUUGAAAACCGUCGAAGGGUAAAAGCUUCCGGGGGUUCGAAUCCCUCCUCUCCCG
RNAcentral lists this transfer RNA (87 nucleotides) under Deltaproteobacteria bacterium. RNAcentral describes it as "tRNA-Ser". It matches the Rfam family "tRNA". Rfam says of the family: Transfer RNA (tRNA) molecules are approximately 80 nucleotides in length. Their secondary structure includes four short double-helical elements and three loops (D, anti-codon, and T loops). Lineage: Bacteria; Pseudomonadati; Myxococcota; Myxococcia. The record is from RNAcentral.